GAGUAUGAUCCUGGCUCAGAUUGAACGCUGGCGGCAGGCCUAACACAUGCAAGUCGAGCGGAUGAGGGGUGCUUGCACCAUGAUUCAGCGGCGGACGGGUGAGUAAUGCCUAGGAAUCUGCCUGGUAGUGGGGGACACCGUUUCGAAAGGAACGCUAAUACCGCAUACGUCCUACGGGAGAAAGCAGGGGACCGUCAGGCCUUGCGAUAUCAGAUGAGCCUAGGUCGGAUUAGCUAGUUGGUGGGGUAAAGGCUCACCAAGGCGACGAUCCGUAACUGGUAUGAGAGGAUGAUCAGUCACACUGGAACUGAGACACGGUCCAGACUCCUUCGGGAGGCAGCAGUGGGGAAUAUUGGACAAUGGGCGAAAGCCUGAUCCAGCCAUGCCGCGUGUGUGAAGAAGGUCUUCGGAUUGUAAAGCACUUUAAGUUGGGAGGAAGGGCAUUAACCUAAUACGUUAGUGUUUUGACGUUACCGACAGAAUAAGCACCGGCUAACUUCGCCCCAACGGCCGCGGUAAUACGAAGCCGAAUUCUGCAGCCCUUAAUGCCCUGGCGCCCGCUCGCGCACGCAUCGCGAGAGCACACUUCUAGAGAGACUCACUUCGCACCUUUUAACGGUGG
RNAcentral lists this ribosomal RNA (622 nucleotides) under uncultured soil bacterium. RNAcentral describes it as "bacterial SSU rRNA". The stretch from base 1 to 534 matches the Rfam family "Bacterial small subunit ribosomal RNA", at positions 9 to 546 of the family's 1533-position model. The record is from RNAcentral.